This 22-nucleotide microRNA is filed under the name Mus musculus (house mouse). RNAcentral's name for it is "mmu-miR-7051-5p". The record is from miRBase by way of RNAcentral. Lineage: Eukaryota; Metazoa; Chordata; Mammalia; Rodentia; Muridae.
UCACCAGGAGGAAGUUGGGUCA